Molecule: ribosomal RNA, 447 nt
Filed under: uncultured bacterium
Lineage: Bacteria
Description: bacterial SSU rRNA
Rfam family: Bacterial small subunit ribosomal RNA
Source: RNAcentral
UGGGGAAUAUUGGACAAUGGGCGCAAGCCUGAUCCAGCCAUGCCGCGUGAGUGAUGAAGGUCUUCGGAUUGUAAAACUCUUUCGCCGGGGAAGAUAAUGACGGUACCCGGAGAAGAAGCUCCGGCUAACUUCGUGCCAGCAGCCGCGGUAAUACGAAGGGAGCUAGCGUUGUUCGGAAUUACUGGGCGUAAAGCGCACGUAGGCGGAUUUUUAAGUCAGGGGUGAAAUCCCAAGGCUCAACCUUGGAACUGCCUUUGAUACUGGAAGUCUCGAGAUCGGGAGAGGUGAGUGGAAUUCCUAGUGUAGAGGUGAAAUUCGUAGAUAUUAGGAAGAACACCAGUGGCGAAGGCGGCUCACUGGCCCGAUACUGACGCUGAGGUGCGAAAGCGUGGGGAGCAAACAGGAUUAGAUACCCUUGUAGUCCCUGAGCGGGCUGGCAAGGCGCAU